This 708-nucleotide unclassified non-coding RNA is filed under the name Espeletia oswaldiana. RNAcentral describes it as "partial external transcribed spacer". The record is from RNAcentral. Lineage: Eukaryota; Viridiplantae; Streptophyta; Magnoliopsida; Asterales; Asteraceae.
CAUGCCUCCCUCUGGUUGGUUCCGGUCGUGGGCAUGAGUGAGGGGCGAUGCUUGAUGGCUUUGAUGCCAUCGGUGGGAAUGUGUUUAAGCAUCGGCCUUCCCUCAUGACCACGAUGGUCUACAGUCUUGUGUACGAGUUAGUGACGUCGCUUGUUUGUUUUGAUGCUUGCGUUGGAACUUGCUUAAGCAACCGAUCUGACGAAGUACCCAUGAAUGUCUCCCAUGAUGGUCUACAGUCUUGCGUACGAGUUAGUGACGUCGCUUGUUUGUUUUGAUGCUUGCGUUGGAACUUGCUUAAGCAACCGACCUGACGAAGUACCCAUGAAUGUCACCAAUGAUGGUCUACAGUCUAGCGUACGAGUUAGUGACGUCGCUUGUUUGUUUUGAUGCUUGCGUUGGAACUUGCUUAAGCAACCGAACUGACGAAGUACCCAUGAAUGUCGCCCAUGAUGGUCUACAGUCUUGGGUAUGAGUCAGUGACGAUGCUUGUUUGUUUUGAUGCUUGCGUUUGAACUUGCUUAAGCAACCGACCUGACGAAUUACCCAUGAAUGUCGCCCAUGAUGGUCUACAGUCUUGGGUAUGAGUCACUGCCAUGCUUGUUUGUUUUGAUGCUUGCUUUGAACUUGCUUAAGCAACCGACCUGACGAACUACCCAUGAAUGUCUCCCAUGAUGGUCUACAGUCUUGCGUACGACUCAGUGACGACGU